CCCAAAUAGUUUUUAAUGGUAAUAUUGAACAGUUUUUUAUAUUUGUCAUUUAGAGGGGGAUUAGUAGCAUCUUUAUACCACUAUAGCCAAAUGUAUAGUAGCCUCUUUGUCCCAGAUCCUUUAUUGAGACAAUUUUUGCUUGUUAAUUUGCAUUUCUGGAACAAAAAUAACAGCAAAGGGUUUCUGGUUAAAGGAAGAAAGAAGGGUUGGGAUCAGCACAGCAAUUAAGCCUGAGGUAAACCUGAUUGAUGUCUUUCUAAGGAUAGGUCACUGUGCAUGGAUAAAAAUGAUAUCUCUAUAAGCAUCUUGAGUACAUGGAAAUGUUCCAUGAAAAAGAAAAAGUUCAGGGAUUAGGAGACUGGAUUUUUUUCAGCUAUGGUGUGUUUGAGGAAUAUAUGCAACUUAAUCACAUAGUUUGGCAGUUUCCAAAUGCCUGCCUGUAGAUCAGCUGCAUUUGAGUCAGUUUUAAGAUAGUUUUUCAGGACUCCUAUCAGAAUUCCUGAUUCAGUGGGAGAAGACGGGAGGUAGGGUCUUUAUUUUUAAUAAGCAUCAAUGUAAAUUAUAUAUUUAAAUACAUACAAAAAUGCACUGUAUUUUUCUUGAAGAUUUCUUGAAUCUUCCUCUAGCCUAUAUCAGGAUCAUAAGCGGACAUUCUUCUUUCGAUAUACAAUUAUGCACCAUCUGUGUGGUGCUUUUUUGGUGCAUUGUACUUCCUUGAAAUAAAAUAUGACUUAUUUUUUUCCUCCAUUGAUUAUGGUACCUAGUUCAGACAGUGGCUGUAGUUUAUGUAGGUGUUAGCAGCUCAGCAGAAAGAAGAUUGUUUACCUAUUGAAAAUGCUGGCACAGCCCCCUUGGCAAGGGUGAAUGAUCCGUGUGAGGCCAGAGAGUUCUGGGAAAAUCCUUGCAUCAUGUUUGUUGUCUUUCCACAUUUCCUAAGAAAGGAUAUUUUUGCUUGUGGUCUACCAACAUAAGCUUCUUUUAAAAAAAUCCUAAACCUUAAGAGAAAGAUUAAAAAAAAAAUAGUACGGGAUAAGCUUUUGGGGGAUAUACAUAUAAGUUUGCAGUGCAUUAGAGCUGCUAGUGAAAGAGCUAUUGGCAUGCGUAUGCACUAAAAUUAAAUCUGUGAGCAAUGACAAAUAAAAGGAGAUGAAAUUAGAAGAAUUUAUAGACUCACUUUUGUCUUCUGCUGUUUUUGUAUCACUGGAAGUCUAGGUGACACACAUUUAUAGUUGCUAUAAAGCACUGAUUAUGUUCUCUUAGCUUAGUGGCAUAGAAAGCUAGGCUGAAAUGAAGGUAGUGAAGGAUGUAAUUGAUUAAAAAUAUCUAGAUAAUAUAAAGAAAACUGUGGACCAAGCAGAUUUUUCACAAUUAUGAUAGUUUAAUGUUCAUACUAUUUUUACUUUUAUAAUGAUAUUUUUUAUAGUAAACAGCCAUUCUGUGCUUCACACAUUUGUGAGGUUUUCAGAACAAGAAAUACUGGCUUCCCUUAGAGCGUAAAAAAAUUGAUAAUCAGAGAAGUGGCUUGCACAAAGUCAUAGGAAGAGAAAUGAAUGAUCUGCUAGAAAGACUCAGUUUGAGGCAGUGACUGUGAUCUCAUUCCCAAGAGUAGAAAUUCUUCAAAUAUCUGCUAGCUGAUGGUCUCAGAAAACAAUCAGACAAACAAACAAAUGGUUCAGGAGACCUGAUAGGUAUGAUUUAUCACAAAAUGCCAAAUGAUCUCGAAAGUAGCUUAGUGGCUUAAAUCAAUAGUGAAUGUGCAUGUUUUUUUCCAUCUAUCACCCAGUGAUAUUAGAGAUGACAGUUUAUUUGAUGAAGGCAUCAGUAUUUUGUGCAUUUUAUUAUGAGAUUUGCUACUAGAUUUUAUGAGUUCUUUUGAAAGAAAACUUUGUCACCACUUAAAAUAUAUUUUAUUAAUAUACUCACUUUAAAAAUGUAUUUGUGCAAUUUUUGGAAAUGCUGAGUUUUGCUCUUCUUUGGUCUCAAAAAGGCAUAAUAAAUCUCCCCUGAUGCUGGUUCCUGACAAAUCCCCAGUCACAUUUAGCUAUUAAAGUCAAUUCUACCUUAUUCAUUUCUCAUCAUAUCAGAACAAGAGACACAGAAGUGUUGUGCAUCUUUGGGACUGUAGAUUAUCAUUUAAAAUGUGCUGAUACACCUGAAGUCUUAAAGUUAAAUUAAUAACUGCAUAAGAGAGCAAUUUCCUGGCAUUCUGUGUUCUUCAAUUCAAGGGUUUUAUCCUAGAUGAGUGCACAAUUCUACUCUGGAAAAUGAGUUUUAAUAGAUAUACUUUAUGUAAAAAUGAAGCAGUAAUGAGCCAGGAUUUACUAUUUGAGCCUAAAAUUUAUGCUAAAUUAGAGUGUAUAAAUAAAACGGUUGAUAUAAUGGAAUUAUGGAUAGAUAAAUAGAUAUAAAUGGAUUUAUAAUUUUUUUUUGAAAAUUUGGCAAUUUUAUUAAUCUCAGGAAUGGCCCCAAUUUAUGCCUCUCUCAAUUCUGAUGGUCUGAUCUGCUGGCCUGGAACUGCUGCUUUUCUCAAGUUGGGCAUGCUUAGCCUCUACAUUCAUCAAAAAUCAUGUAUCAAACUUGGUGCUAAGUCAGAUAGCUGGUGCAUUUUUAAUGUUAUUGUAUUCUUGUGCUUUAUUGCCAUGCUCUUACUAGCCCUUUUGGUUGUUGACUGCUGCUUUUCUUUUUUGAAAUAACCCUUUUUGUUUGUUUGCUUUUCUUUUUUGAACCUCUGUUUUAUUCACUUUGGUACGUGUUUCCACAUUCUUCCUGACUGUGGACCACAUGCCCUUUUCUGAAUUCUGGUGUUUUGUUGUUCAUCUGCCUAAUUUCUUAUUGUCUUUGUCAGCAAGAACCCUCUGAUAAAUACAUAACCCUGAACAGUACUAUUGCACUUUCUAAUUAUCUUAUCAUCAUUAUUUAUUAGGGAGCCAGUUUGUCUGAGUACAUCAGAUAUGCUGUCUCCUCUAGUGUGGUUCUAUUGCUGUUGGUUAAUUAGUUGAAAGCAGUUAAAAUAUCUAUCCUCUGAUCCCUUCCUCUGUUGAGUUGGGAGUAGGGUUGGAGGAAGUGAAUCAGUGGGAAAUAAAAAGGUCACCUGGACUAAAUUUCCUCCUAUCUUGACCUUCAAGUAUGCAAACUAAUGAAACUUGCCCAGGAGGAAGAGACUUUGCUUCUGAAAUGCCCUUAGCAAGAUGUCCUUGAAGGAUUACUCAAGAUGUAUCAACAUGGCUCCUGGAAAAAGUCAUGUAGGUGGUACAACUCUCUGUAGUAUAUAACAUGAUAUGUUUUAUAUGCUAGCCUUUUGUGAAGUGAUCUUGUGAACUUCACUUAAGAAACUUCAAGUAUUCUGGACCAGAGAGGUUUUUCUAACAUGAGAAGAAAGUUGGGCCUAACUCCUGACAGCUCUACCUAGUGUAGUCCUUUAAUCGUCUGUGUCCUUGGUCCUUGAUAAGAUUAGUAAACCUUGACCUUAGUUAAGAUCUCUGAUCGUUGUGAGUCUGAUUUGACAAUCUGCUGUUGUAUAUUAUUGUCUCUAGUGUGGGACUGCCUGGAUUUGAAUCCCUGUAUCCCAAGUUUUUACCUGUGGGCUUUAGGCAAAUUCCCUAACCUGUCAAUGAUCAAUUAUCCUACCCAUAAAAUGGAGAUUCAGAAUAGUUUGUGUUUGGGAUUAACACAUGUAAAAUGUAGAACAGUUUCUAGCACAUAGUAAACUUGAACACAAUGUUAAAUAGUUUAUUAAGAUUCAAUUCAGAAGAAGUCCACAGUAAUAAACAACAUUCUUCAUGUACUUCUUGUGCACCAGGUACUGAGUCAGGAACUUUAAAAUAAUUAUUUCCUUCUAAUUUUUAUAAUCAACCCUAUGAAUAGUGAGAUUUUCCACAAAUGUGGAGAAGGAGACUAAGACUAGAAUUUUUACUUUGUCCUUCUAAAGCAUAUGUAACAUGUAACUGCAUGUCACUCCACACGCCCAAAUUGAAUGUCUCUAGGCCCUUGAUACUCAAAAUGCUGUCUGCAGCAUUAACAUCACCUGGGAGCUUGUUAGAACUGCAGACUCUAUGGCUCUAUCAAAGACCUACUGAUUCAGAAUCUGCAUUUUAACAAGAUCCCUAGAGUGAUGUGUAUGCCUGUUAAAAUUCAAUAACCCCAUUUUAGUUGUUUUAGGUAUUUUUUCCCAUGCCAUUUUAUCCAGUAUAUAUGCUAUGGUUUAUAAAUAAAUAUAUUUUAAUUGCUGUAGGUUUUCAGUGACCUUUGUGGUUUAAUUUUCAGCUAUAGCAUGGGAGUCAUUUCACUCAUGCUCACUGCCAGUAAGUACUAAGGAAGAAGAAUGGAAGGCAGAAAGUCAAGAUGACGCUUUAAGCAGAAGGAAAAGUUCCAUAAUUGAACUGAGUAUCUCUCCUAGUAGUUCUACUAUCCAAACUGCAUUAAAAAGUGAAGACACCAUCACAUGGGAUUUAAUUUCAUGAAUAGUUUUCAAUAGAAAUAAAUCCUACAUUUCCACAGUUUGCAUUUUCUUGCAUUUGUGUCUCUGUAAAAUGAAAUCAGAUAUGGACCAUAAGUACUUGGUAAUUAUCAAGGCCCUGAUUUUAGGGAAAGUAGUUUAGCUUGGAUUUUGGUCCAGUGUUGUUCCAUUCUGAUUUAUGAAAAAUUUUGUGAAAGUUGUAUACUUUUUAUGGUUCAGAUUUGAUUGGAGAAAAUUUUGUUUCUUGCAGUUUUCCUAUUGAUUAGAAUGCAUGGAAUGCCAAUAACAUUGUUUCAUAACAAUACUAAAGUCCAUGAACACUAGAUCAAAUACUGAAACAAUCAUGGUCAUACUGUGGCAUUAUACUUUAAAAAAAUUAGUGUAAUGCUGGAAGCAUUAAAACAGUAAAUUAAAGAGAAAAAUUUCUUUGAUAAUCCUUACCUUGUAAAAACAAUAGCCAGUCAUUGAUCUUAAUUCUCAGUCUUCUCUGGAACUUUGAAAAUAUAGAACAGCUUUAAGUCUGUAGAAAUAAAUUAAAACAGGGAGUUCCCAUUGUGGCUCAAUGCAGUGAACCCAACUAGCACUGUGAGGAUGUGGAUUUGAUUCCUGGCCUCAUUCAGUGGGUUGGGGCCCUGUUGUUGCCAUGAGCUGUGGUGUAGGUCACUGGUGCAGCUUGGAUCUGGUGUUGCUGUGGCUGUGGCAUAGGCUGGCAGCUAUAGCUCUGAUUCAGCCCCUAGCCUGGGAAUUUCCAAAUGCCACGGGUGCAGCCCUACAAAGACAGAAAAAUUAAAAAAUAAAUAAAUGGCAACAACCCAAAAGAAAACAGAGAUUGUUUAUUCAUAACAUGCAAUUUCAUUGAUAUCAGCAUCUGUCCCUUGCAUUUGUCAGAAAUUCAAAGGCAGCCAGGAAAGUGGAAAAGCUUUACAGU
Molecule: long non-coding RNA, 5384 nt
Filed under: Sus scrofa (pig)
Lineage: Eukaryota; Metazoa; Chordata; Mammalia; Artiodactyla; Suidae
Description: lncRNA (ENSSSCG00000052469.1)
Source: RNAcentral